GACGAACCGUACGAACGUUAUUCGGAAUCACUGGGCUUAAAGGGUGCGUAGGCGGCGCGGUAAGUUGGGUGUGAAAUCCCUCGGCUCAACCGAGGAACUGCGCCCAAAACUACCGUGCUCGAGGGAGAUAGAGGUGAGCGGAACUUAGGGUGGAGCGGUGAAAUGCGUUGAUAUCCUAAGGAACACCGGUGGCGAAAGCGGCUCACUGGAUCUCUUCUGACGCUGAGGCACGAAAGCUAGGGUAGCGAACGGG
RNAcentral lists this ribosomal RNA (253 nucleotides) under uncultured bacterium. RNAcentral describes it as "partial 16S ribosomal RNA". It matches the Rfam family "Bacterial small subunit ribosomal RNA", at positions 524 to 776 of the family's 1533-position model. The record is from RNAcentral.